This 666-nucleotide ribosomal RNA is filed under the name bacterium. RNAcentral's name for it is "bacterial SSU rRNA". It matches the Rfam family "Bacterial small subunit ribosomal RNA", at positions 160 to 827 of the family's 1533-position model. The record is from RNAcentral.
UAGCUAAUACCCCAUAACGUCUUCCGACCAAAGAGGGGGACCUUCGGCCCUCUUGCCAUCUGAUGUGCCCAGAUGUGAUUAUCUUGUUGGUGGGGUCACGGCUCACCACGCUACCAUCCCUAGCUGGUCUGAGAGGAUGACCAGCCACACUGGAACUGAGACACUCUCCCGACUCCUACGGGAGGCAGCAGUGGGGAAUAUUGCACAAUGGGCGCCAGCCUUAUGCCGCCAUUCCGCGUGGAUUAAGAAGGCCUUCGGGUUGUAAAGUACUUUCAGCGGGGAGGAAGGCGAUUAGGCUAAUAACCUCAUGCAUUGACGUUACCCGCAGAAGAAGCACCGGCGUAACUCCGUGCCAACAUCCGCUGUAAUACGGAAGGGGCAAGCGGUAAUCCGGAGUACUGGGCGCAAAUCGCACGCUUGCGUCGUGUCAAGUCUGAUCUGAAAUCCCCUGGCUCAAACCGGGAACUGCAUUCGAAACUGGCAUGCUGGAGUCUUGUGGAGGGGGGUACAAUUCCGCGUGUAGCGGUGAAAUGCCUAGAUAUCUCAAAGAAUACCGGUGGCAAAUGCUGUCCCCUGGACACAAAGAGGCGCUUAUGUGCGAAAGCAUGGGGUACAUACAUGAAUAGAUUCCCUGGUAAAAGUUAAUAAUUCUUUUUUUGUUAGUGA